RNAcentral lists this microRNA (21 nucleotides) under Salicornia europaea (common glasswort). Its description in RNAcentral is "seu-miR319". Its record names the gene seu-miR319. The record is from miRBase by way of RNAcentral. Lineage: Eukaryota; Viridiplantae; Streptophyta; Magnoliopsida; Caryophyllales; Amaranthaceae.
CGUGAAUGAUGCGGGAGAUAG